AGCUCGGUAGCGCAAUGGUAGCGCGUCUCUGUCCACUUGCAACAUUCGCGGUGCUCGUUAUGGUUGACGGGAAGAUCUCGGUUCGAUUCCGAGUCGAGCUA
RNAcentral lists this transfer RNA (101 nucleotides) under Stereum hirsutum FP-91666 SS1. It matches the Rfam family "tRNA". Rfam says of the family: Transfer RNA (tRNA) molecules are approximately 80 nucleotides in length. The record is from Rfam by way of RNAcentral. Lineage: Eukaryota; Fungi; Basidiomycota; Agaricomycetes; Russulales; Stereaceae.